GACGAACGCUGGCGGCGUGCUUAACACAUGCAAGUCGAACGGUAAGGCCCUUCGGGGUACACGAGUGGCGAACGGGUGAGUAACACGUGGGUGAUCUGCCCUGCACUUCGGGAUAAGCCUGGGAAACUGGGUCUAAUACCGGAUAGGACUCCGGACUGCAUGGUCUGGGGUGGAAAGCUUUUGCGGUGUGGGAUGGGCCCGCGGCCUAUCGGCUUGUUGGUGGGGUGAUGGCCUACCAAGGCGACGACGGGUAGCCGGCCUGAGAGGGUGACCGGCCACACUGGGACUGAGGUACGGCCCAGACUCCUACGGGAGGCAGCAGUGGGGAAUAUUGCACAAUGGGCGCAAGCCUGAUGCAGCGACGCCGCGUGAGGGAUGACGGCCUUCGGGUUGUAAACCUCUUUCAGCAUCGACGAAGCGAAAGUGACGGUAGGUGCAGAAGAAGGACCGGCCAACUACGUGCCAGCAGCCGCGGUAA
Molecule: ribosomal RNA, 478 nt
Filed under: uncultured bacterium
Lineage: Bacteria
Description: partial 16S ribosomal RNA
Rfam family: Bacterial small subunit ribosomal RNA
Source: RNAcentral